RNAcentral lists this ribosomal RNA (433 nucleotides) under uncultured bacterium. Its description in RNAcentral is "partial 16S ribosomal RNA". It matches the Rfam family "Bacterial small subunit ribosomal RNA", at positions 29 to 507 of the family's 1533-position model. The record is from RNAcentral.
AACGAACGCUGGCGGCAUGCCUAAUACAUGCAAGUCGAACGAGAUCUUCGGAUCUAGUGGCGCACGGGUGCGUAACGCGUGGGAAUCUGCCCUUGGGUUCGGAAUAACUUCUGGAAACGGAAGCUAAUACCGGAUGAUGACGUAAGUCCAAAGAUUUAUCGCCCAAGGAUGAGCCCGCGUAGAAUUAGCUAGUUGGUGGGGUAAAGGCCCACCAAGGCGACGAUCCUUAGCUGGUCUGAGAGGAUGAUCAGCCACACUGGGACUGAGACACGGCCCAGACUCCUACGGGAGGCAGCAGUAGGGAAUAUUGGACAAUGGGGGAAACCCUGAUCCAGCAAUGCCGCGUGAGUGAUGAAGGCCUUAGGGUUGUAAAGCUCUUUUACCCGGGAUGAUAAUGACAGUACCGGGAGAAUAAGCUCCGGCUAACUCCGUG